UGCAUUUUCUCUCCAAGCUUGUCACCUUCCUCCCUUCCUCUUGUGAGCCAAAGUGAUCACCUUUUUGUUCAAGUUUAUUCAUCUAAUCACCAUAACUUGGUGUGAGCAACUUUGUGAGGGUGAGAGUCAACCCAUUUCGGAGUUAUGGUCUCUAUUUAGUGGUGGUUUAGGGGUUGGGUUCUUGAGUUUCAUGGAGGGAGCCAUUGUCAUGGCAUUUGGAGCUUCAAGAAGCUACCUUUGAAGAGAAAAGACCUUGCUUGAUAGCCAUUUUCGUGGACCUUUGAAGUCAGAACCUUGGGGCUGGUUUGAGAGCUCCAAGAGCACUUGUGGUUCUAUUUUGAGCCUUUGGGAUUGUAAUUGUGCUGUUUGUGAACCUUGGGCUGUUGUGGACUCUUGACUUGGGAUUGAUUGCUUAAGAGAUUCAGGUACCUCGGAAGUUGAUACCUUUAGGGCAUGAGGCCGGAGUUGAGUUGAGUGGAUAUGUAUGCUGUUGAGCUGAUAUGUUAGAGAUUUCCAUGCCUUAUUUCAGUAUAUUGUUAUUUGAGUUGAGACUUUGUUGGGCUUUGUUGCCUUAUUUGGUGAGCAUGAGGGUUGUCCAUGCCACAUUGACAUCAAUAUGUUUGAUUUAAUUUGAGUUGUACUCAUGUAUCAGGAUAUGGUCCGGUCUAUGUGUUGUAGUUUCGUGACUUGAUACUAUUUAUAUUAUGAGGUUA
Gastrolobium bilobum is the source of this 713-nucleotide long non-coding RNA. RefSeq lists it as uncharacterized. The transcript has 3 exons. The record is from RefSeq and is a predicted model, not a curated record. Lineage: Eukaryota; Viridiplantae; Streptophyta; Magnoliopsida; Fabales; Fabaceae.